GCAAGGAGGAAGCCGCGUAAAGAGGCCGUGACGGAAAAACGGAGUUGCAGAAGGGGGCGGUGGGUGAGUUUUGGAUGACCAGUCAGUGACGCGAGAGAGAACAAAAGCUCGAGCCGCGGCCGCCAUGUAAAGAUUCGAGCUACGGAGAGAGCUCUCCCUCCCUCUCUCUAUCUUCCUGGAGCUGUAUCUGCGUGCGUCUCUCUGCGUUUGUCGACGUGGAAGGAUCUUUCGCGUAGCGUUAUGUCUUUGGCCAGAAAUUCCCUUUUG
This 267-nucleotide unclassified non-coding RNA is filed under the name Hevea brasiliensis (rubber tree). Lineage: Eukaryota; Viridiplantae; Streptophyta; Magnoliopsida; Malpighiales; Euphorbiaceae. The record is from RNAcentral.